Molecule: RNA transcript, 1655 nt
Organism: Magnolia sinica
Lineage: Eukaryota; Viridiplantae; Streptophyta; Magnoliopsida; Magnoliales; Magnoliaceae
Exons: 3
Source: RefSeq, a predicted model, not a curated record
GGUUUGGAUAGCUUAUAAACUCAGCCCCAGCUCUCUGCCUCAUCCAAAACCCUAACCUUACUUCCCCAAAAUCCUUCCGCCACAACGCCCUCUUGUACAACCUCAUCAUCUCCAAGCUCUCCCCCGCCAAGCUCUUCCCUGACAUGGAGCAGAUCCUCCUCUAGAUGAAGCAGUAGCAGCACCGUUUCGUCCCCAAAGAAUCCCUCUUCUGCCACGUCAUUUCCUCCUAUGGCUGCUCCUGCAUGCCGGGCCCCGUUCCUCCACACCUUCGACCAAAUCCCUUCCUUUGGCUCCCAAAGAAUAGUCACAUCUCUCAAUUCCCUUCUCAGUGCACACUUGGGUUGUAGAGAAUUCAAAAAUUUCCAGGAAUUUUAUCUGCAUCUUGAUCGGUGUUCUUUUCUUCCAUGCGAGCAGCUGCUACCCAACUGCUGCAGUGUUGAUCUUCUUGGCCGGGCUGGAUAUUUGGCUGAUGUUGUCCUUGCAUCCCAUGUUGCUGACAGGCAAUGGCCCGUCCACAGUGGGUCCCACCAAAUGAAACAGUUGAGAUUAGCUGUGAAGACAACCUUUCUCACAGCAGGCUAUAUGGUUACUUUCUCUUCAUUUAUUUUCAAACUCUCAGAGAUGGGUGUUGGAGUCUGCUUUGGUUUCUUACGAGUUUUGGCAAUUGGUACUCUGGUCCCACAGCUUGUUAGGUUCUACACAAGAAUUGGGUUCAAGGCCGUGCAUGAAGUUACCAGUUCGUCGAUGGUGACCUGGCUCACAUGUUGGUAUGGGGAGGGAAGGGAACUAGAAUGGAUGCCGAUAUUGAAGAGCUUCUCGUGAAAUCGGGCAGCAGGUUUAAAGCUCAGAAUUGAAAUCCAAUUGGAAUUCAGACUUUUACAAACUUAAGCAAGCGAACUGUUUUGUUGAUUUAUUCUUGAGAACUAGUGGAACCAGAAUAGGAUGCAGAGACCUCUUCAUAGUACAUGUGGCAGAACCCGUUUCUCUAAGUUAUAGCCUAAAAUUUCUGAUUGGUCUAGCAGUCCUAAACUCUAACUCAGGUACACUUGUUUGUUGAGAGAAGAAUGUUGGAUAAUUUUUAUUUUUAAUCAUCCAAUAAACGUCUGCCAAUCUGAUAGUCAGAUAAUCAAAUAAGCUAAGUGCCUGAUUAUAAUCCAUGACACUCUUCUAGAGCAUCCAAGUUAUUUUUUCUUCCAAGCAUUGUCUUUGGAAUAUAUAAUAAUUUAAUUCCUAAGCUAAGUUUCACUAUUGGCAAUUUAGAAUUUGGCUGGAAUUCAAUUCCUGAUUUUAAGCCAUUUACUAUCCUUUCCAAAAGGCUACUUCUCAAAUUCUUAUAGAUUGGAUUCAAAUUUGAAGUUGUCAAACACAAAUAAUGCACUGAAAUUCUCAAGAAUCCAAUUACUAGUCCUGAUUGAGGUCCCUGGUUUAGCCAUGAGAAAGAAAGGGAGGAUGGAUUUUAUUUAUUUUUUAAUGUAUGUUAAAUUGAUCUCAUGUGAAAUUUUUUAAUAUGAAAAUUUCAGUGUACAUGUUUUUCAUUCACACAGUAAGCAUUUAUAAAUAUAAUGGUCUGAAUAUAUUUAUUUUCAAAAAAUUGAUUGAUAGGAUACUAAUUGUAAGGAUUAAUUGGAAUUCCAACAAUACAAAUUCAAAUUUUG